GACGAACGCUGGCGGCGUGCCUAAUACAUGCAAGUCGAGCGCAGGAAACUGACGGAACUCUUCGGAGGGAAGGCAGUGGAAUGAGCGGCGGACGGGUGAGUAACACGUAAGGAACCUGCCUCAAGGAUUGGGAUAACUCCGAGAAAUCGGAGCUAAUACCGGAUAGUUCAACGGACCGCAUGGUCCGCUGAUGAAAGGCGCUCCGGCGUCACCUUGAGAUGGACUUGCGGUGCAUUAGCUAGUUGGUGGGGUAACGGCCCACCAAGGCGACGAUGCAUAGCCGACCUGGGAGGGUGAUCGGCCACACUGGGACUGAGACACGGCCCAGACUCCUACGGGAGGCAGCAGUAGGGAAUCUUCCACAAUGGACGAAAGUCUGAUGGAGCAACGCCGCGUGAGUGAUGAAGGUUUUCGGAUCGUAAAACUCUGUUGUAAGGGAAGAACACGUACGAGAGGAAAUGCUCGUACCUUGACGGUACCUUACGAGAAAGCCACGGCUAACUACGUGCCAGCCGCCGCCGUAA
This 524-nucleotide ribosomal RNA is filed under the name uncultured bacterium. RNAcentral's name for it is "partial 16S ribosomal RNA". It matches the Rfam family "Bacterial small subunit ribosomal RNA", at positions 28 to 523 of the family's 1533-position model. The record is from RNAcentral.